RNAcentral lists this ribosomal RNA (255 nucleotides) under uncultured bacterium. Its description in RNAcentral is "partial 16S ribosomal RNA". It matches the Rfam family "Bacterial small subunit ribosomal RNA", at positions 524 to 777 of the family's 1533-position model. The record is from RNAcentral.
GACAGAGGGUGCAAACGUUUGUUCGGAAUUACUGGGCGUAAAGCGCGUGUAGGCGGCCAUCUAAGUCGGGCGUGAAAUCCCACGGCUCAACCGUGGAAGUGCACUCGAAACUGGAUGGCUAGAGUCCUGGAGAGGAAGGUGGAAUGCUUGGUGUAGAGGUGAAAUUCGUAGAUAUCAAGCGGAACACCGGUGGCGAAGGCGGCCUUCUGGACAGUGACUGACGCUGAGACGCGAAAGCGUGGGGAGCAAACAGGG